AUUGAACGCUGGCGGCAUGCCUUACACAUGCAAGUCGAACGGUAGAGUAGCAAUACUUGAGAGUGGCGAACGGGUGAGUAAUAUAUCGGAACGUGCCCAGUCGUGGGGGAUAACGUAGAGAAAUUUACGCUAAUACCGCAUACGAUCUAAGGAUGAAAGCGGGGGAUUCGCAAGAACCUCGCGCGAUUGGAGCGGCUGAUAUCAGAUUAGGUUGUUGGUGAGGUAAAAGCUCACCAAGCCGACGAUCUGUAGCUGGUUUGAGAGAACGACCAGCCACACUGGGACUGAGACACGGCCCAGACUCCUACGGGAGGCAGCAGUGGGGGAAUUUUGGACAAUGGGCGCAAGCCUGAUCCAGCAAUGCCGCGUGCAGGAUGAAGGCCUUCGGUU
RNAcentral lists this ribosomal RNA (390 nucleotides) under uncultured bacterium. RNAcentral describes it as "bacterial SSU rRNA". It matches the Rfam family "Bacterial small subunit ribosomal RNA", at positions 30 to 423 of the family's 1533-position model. The record is from RNAcentral.